UAUGAGUUCCGCAGCAUUGUUCCUGUAUCGUGAUGUUAAUUGAAUUUUAUUGUAAUUUCUUAUCAAACCAAUGAGUACCGUUCGUGAUCACAAAACGUUGAUUUUCAAUUCAAUCGAGACGUGUAAAUCAUAUAUUUGAGCUAUAAGUACUUACCUAGUAUAAAAUGACGUCGUCGACAAUUUUUUAUUUGAUUAAUUUUAUUCUGGGCUUGCUAGUCCUGGAAAGUGUUGGUCGUGAUUAUCAUAUGCAGUCACCGGUACCGGAUAUUCAAUCAUCGAGUCGACAACCUCUUUCGAAACUUCUUAGAUCAUACUCGACGAGAGGGGGGAACAAAAACAUGCAAUUAACUGCAUUGAUCUAUUUCUUUUCCAACAAAGGUUCUGUUAUGGUGCGCUGCAUGGACGACGGUGUGUGUAUCGACAGUCAGUCUUGUCCUUGGAAUAGACUAUUGUUGGAAGAUGUUACCUGCAUGCAAGAUCAUAACAGCCACGUCUGUUGUCGUGUACAGAAAGUAAAGUCGUCAUUAGAUAGCUUUUUUGAUAACUUGUGACAUAUCCGUUUUACGUUAAAUUAGGUACUUGGUACAGUAGUUAGUUAGUUUA
Molecule: long non-coding RNA, 603 nt
Organism: Helicoverpa armigera (cotton bollworm)
Lineage: Eukaryota; Metazoa; Arthropoda; Insecta; Lepidoptera; Noctuidae
Exons: 3
Source: RefSeq, a predicted model, not a curated record